This 497-nucleotide ribosomal RNA is filed under the name uncultured bacterium. RNAcentral's name for it is "partial 16S ribosomal RNA". It matches the Rfam family "Bacterial small subunit ribosomal RNA", at positions 28 to 507 of the family's 1533-position model. The record is from RNAcentral.
GAUGAACGCUGGCGGCGUGCCUAAUACAUGCAAGUCGAGCGAACAGACGAGGAGCUUGCUCCUUUGACGUUAGCGGCGGACGGGUGAGUAACACGUAGGUAACCUACCUAUAAGACUGGGAUAACUUCGGGAAACCGGAGCUAAUACCGGAUAAUAUUUCGAACCGCAUGGUUCGAUAGUGAAAGAUGGCUUUGCUAUCACUUAUAGAUGGACCUGCGCCGUAUUAGCUAGUUGGUAAGGUAACGGCUUACCAAGGCAACGAUACGUAGCCGACCUGAGAGGGUGAUCGGCCACACUGGAACUGAGACACGGUCCAGACUCCUACGGGAGGCAGCAGUAGGGAAUCUUCCGCAAUGGGCGAAAGCCUGACGGAGCAACGCCGCGUGAGUGAUGAAGGUCUUCGGAUCGUAAAACUCUGUUAUUAGGGAAGAACAAACGUGUAAGUAACUGUGCACGUCUUGACGGUACCUAAUCAGAAAGCCACGGCUAACUGCGUG